UCGUAAAGGUGCAUGAGUGGUGUUUGGUUUGUUACGGGUGGUUGGCUCUUUGCUUGCGCAACAACUUCCACCUGGCAUACCUCUUCAGUCGUAUUUCAAUGCUUGUUUUGCAUUGAAUUCACGAUGGGUUUCUUGUGUUGCAUACCUAAUUGAAGGUAUCAUUUGAUGAAUUGGUGUUGACUUUCGUCUUGUGUCGCACAUGCGAUGUGAGAUGAACCUUGAAGCAGCCUUUGUGAUCCACUCUUUUGAUGCACACGCAUUAAUCUUGUGGCCCAUUGAGUUUGCUCGGUCUCAUGGAUAUGGAACCUGGUGUGGGCAUGGGAUCUUCUUGUUCCUUGUUUGCCCUAGUUAAGCUUUUCAAAUACGAUGGCCUAUCAUGUGUUAAACGUGUUAGGUUUCUAUCGAAUAUGAAUG
Molecule: unclassified non-coding RNA, 414 nt
Filed under: Lasiopogon debilis
Lineage: Eukaryota; Viridiplantae; Streptophyta; Magnoliopsida; Asterales; Asteraceae
Description: partial external transcribed spacer
Source: RNAcentral